GCCAAGAUGGCCGAAUAGGAACAGCUCCGGUCUACAGCUCCCAGCGUGAGCGACGCAGAAGACGGGUGAUUUCUGCAUUUCCAUCUGAGAGUUUUGCUCUUGUUGCGCAGCCUGGAGUGAAAUGGCGUGAUCUUGGCUCACUGUAACCUCUGCCUCCCAGGUUCAAGUGAUUCUCCUGCCUCAGCCUCCUAAGUAUACUCAGGUAGAAGAACAGAACAAUAUUUGCCUG
Pongo pygmaeus (Bornean orangutan) is the source of this 229-nucleotide long non-coding RNA. RefSeq lists it as uncharacterized. Lineage: Eukaryota; Metazoa; Chordata; Mammalia; Primates; Hominidae. The transcript has 3 exons. The record is from RefSeq and is a predicted model, not a curated record.